Molecule: ribosomal RNA, 255 nt
Filed under: uncultured bacterium
Lineage: Bacteria
Description: partial 16S ribosomal RNA
Rfam family: Bacterial small subunit ribosomal RNA
Source: RNAcentral
UACGUAGGGUGCGAGCGUUGUCCGGAAUUAUUGGGCGUAAAGAGCUUGUAGGUGGUUUGUCGCGUCUGCUGUGAAAAUCCGAGGCUCAACCUCGGACUUGCAGUGGGUACGGGCAGACUAGAGUGUGGUAGGGAGACUGGAAUUCUCGGUGUAGCAGUGAAAUGCGUAGAUAUCGAGAGGAACACCAGUGGCGAAGGCGAGUCCCUGGACGACUUCCUGACACUGGAGGCAACGAAAGCUAGGGGAGCAAACAGG